Molecule: long non-coding RNA, 647 nt
Organism: Cucurbita maxima (winter squash)
Lineage: Eukaryota; Viridiplantae; Streptophyta; Magnoliopsida; Cucurbitales; Cucurbitaceae
Exons: 3
Source: RefSeq, a predicted model, not a curated record
UAAGUUCCUAAAAUGGCGGCCGCCUCUUGUGCUGUCGUCGAACGAAUUCCACUGGUCGAUUUUGUUAUCGAGAUUCCGAUGUCAUCUGAAUAUGAAAUCAUGAAAAAUUAUCCACCAUCAACGAAACGAAUCAUUAUAUUGAAUAAGACGGACCUAGCGGAUCGGUCACAGACAGAGGACUGGACAAGAUAUUUUGAAGACCAUGCAUCUCUUAUGGCGUUAGGUGAAUAUUAGGGAGGUAAAGAGCUAAGAUGUAAUCUUUUUGUGUUCAUUUUUAAUUGCUAUCUUGUUUGAGCAACAUAUUUUCCUCUUACUUUCCAGCUUUGAAAUGCUGUUGAUGGUAAUUGUCAGAUGUCUUGGCUGUGUAUGCAUUUUUUUUUUCUCUAACCAUGUUUUGUGCAAAAUUAAGUGCCAACUAAUUGUAAUUUAUACAUCCCAUAUUCCAAAAUGAUACUUUGUCACCGUGGGACAAUCCAUUAUUUGUUCGAUCUUUUGAGCUGGCCUUAGUUGUUCAAAUAACAAUUAAGGUGAAGGAAGGUCAGGAACAACGAAUCUCUUUAUGAUAAACAGAUUCAUUUUGCAAGUUCAUUAUUGUGGGUAGUUCCUACAAAGGAUCGGACUAAUGACAUAUACAAUACUUGAAUUCU